This is a small nuclear RNA of Bombyx mandarina (wild silkworm), 155 nucleotides long. NCBI's taxonomy places the organism in Eukaryota, Metazoa, Arthropoda, Insecta, Lepidoptera, Bombycidae. The record is from RefSeq and is a predicted model, not a curated record.
AUACUUACCUGGCGUAGGGAUACCGUGAUCAUGCAGGCGGUUCCCCCAGGGUGAGGCUGCUCUAUUGCACUGCGGAGUGUUUGACCCUUGCGAGGGAGCUUGCUAGAACCAUCUGUUCUAUAAAUUUUAAGUAGUUAGCGAAGCCCACACUCUUC